UGUUUACAUGUUAUUGUUAUUUGAACAGCUGAGCAUUUAAUCUGAACCAGGUGAAGAGCCCUGUUUAUUAUUUAUUCAUUUGAUUUUUCAACUGUUCACUGAAAUAGCCGCUUUCAAUAAAACUACUUGAGACAUGUCAUAUCUGGCUUUGACUUUGACUGAACAUUUGCUCUCACUUUGCUGAAAAAAUAUCAGGAUAUAUAUCUUAUAUCGAUAUUCAGCCUAAAUAUAUCAGGAUAUGACUUUUGGUCCAUAUCGCCCAGCCCUAGCUCAAGCAUUAUUGAGCACAUCUGCAGCAAUAAGUGACUGACUGACCUGACAGGUGACUUGACAGGUGACCUGCCAUGAUACUAUGCCUUUAGAGGUGGGGGUGGAAAUGCAGUUGUUGUUCAGUCACUGCAUGAAUAUUAAAUAUGGGUUAUGCAUAUUCCAUUUUUUUGUCCUCUAGUAAAACAAGUUGUUGUUGAACCAAC
Molecule: long non-coding RNA, 473 nt
Filed under: Salmo salar (Atlantic salmon)
Lineage: Eukaryota; Metazoa; Chordata; Actinopteri; Salmoniformes; Salmonidae
Description: lncRNA (ENSSSAG00000101000.1)
Source: RNAcentral